RNAcentral lists this transfer RNA (73 nucleotides) under Prevotella sp. Its description in RNAcentral is "tRNA-Gly". It matches the Rfam family "tRNA". Rfam says of the family: Transfer RNA (tRNA) molecules are approximately 80 nucleotides in length. Their secondary structure includes four short double-helical elements and three loops (D, anti-codon, and T loops). Further hydrogen bonds mediate the characteristic L-shaped molecular structure. tRNAs have two regions of fundamental functional importance: the anti-codon, which is responsible for specific mRNA codon recognition, and the 3' end, to which the tRNAs corresponding amino acid is attached (by aminoacyl-tRNA synthetases). tRNAs cope with the degeneracy of the genetic code in two manners: having more than one tRNA (with a specific anti-codon) for a particular amino acid; and 'wobble' base-pairing, i.e. permitting non-standard base-pairing at the 3rd anti-codon position. Lineage: Bacteria; Pseudomonadati; Bacteroidota; Bacteroidia; Bacteroidales; Prevotellaceae. The record is from RNAcentral. RNAcentral also lists the same sequence under 1 other name.
GCGGUAAUAGCUCAGUUGGUAGAGCACUAGCUUCCCAAGCUGGGGGUCGCGGGUUCGAGCCCCGUUUACCGCU